Molecule: unclassified non-coding RNA, 400 nt
Filed under: uncultured fungus
Lineage: Eukaryota; Fungi
Description: sequence contains ITS1
Rfam family: 5.8S ribosomal RNA (bases 1-106)
Source: RNAcentral
UGAAAUGCGAAAAGUAAUGCGAUUUGCAUGAAUCUGUGAGUCAUCAAGUUUUUGAACGCACCUUGCACCAUAUGAGUAAUUGUAUGGUAUACCUGUUUGAGAAUCGUAAAAACCCCAUCCUCUUUAGCAUCACAUAUCAUCAUCAUCACCCCCUCACAAGGGGGGAGGUGUGUGUGUGUGUGCAAAAUAGGGACUUGUCGGAUGUCGAGUAAAAUGGACUCCGAUUAAAUGUAGUAGGUUUGGAUCAGGCUGGUGGCCUGGGACAUUGUGUGCUAGAGACUAACAGUCUUCUCACAGUGCGUCCCGGGUCAAUUAAAAGCUGGCCUGUGGUAGAGCCUUCAACAGCGCAUCGGGAGCAAUCCGGAUGGCUACACUUUUCUCUUUGAUCUCAAAUCAGGUA